UUUGAUGAACGUAAGUCCCUGGGAGCUUUUAGCUUCCAUAACGUACUGAGAAAAUACAUAUUUAACUUUCAAAAUAUCUUAAAAAACCUUAACAAAAGCUUUACACCCAGACCGAAAAACAAUUUACAAAAUAGUUUUAGCCUCCGGUUUAAAGCCGAUAUUGACUUUACAGUGUAAACAGAUAUUGGGUUUCCAUUAUAGUAUUUCGCAAUAUUGCAUCAGCCGGUUACGACUAGUUUUAUCAAUACACAUAACAUUCUUUACUGUUUUAAGUAUUAUAACGAAAAAAGUGGAAUUUAAACAACUGAAAUGUAUUCAAGAAUUCUACAAAGAUAUUAUUAGCCAGACGAAUUACAACGUGAAAAAUCCAAGACUUUAUAAAGACAACGAACGUUUAACACAAAAUAUAUCAUCGGAAGACUUCAAGAAAAGAAUGUUAACCAUAGCAUGGUUGAAUAUCAUAAUACUUUCAUGUUGUUAGAAUCACUCAACCGUAGGAGUAUGCCAUACUCAUACGCAUGGUUGAAUAUCAUAAUACUUUCAUGUUGUGAGAAUUACUCAACCAUAGGAUUAUACCAUAAUCAUACGCAUGGUUUAAUGUUAUGAUAUUUUGAUGUUGUUGAAAUCACUCAACCGUUUGAGUAUGCCAUAGGCAUAUGCAUGAUUGAAUAUCAUAAUACUUUUAUGUUAUGAAAAUCACUCAACCGUUUGAGUAUACCAUAGGCAUAUGCAUGAUUGAAUUAUUUAUUAUGUUUUACAUUGUUUACUCUCAGUGUUUUAUACAAUAAAUCAUAAAUGUUUAUACCAUUUUGUAACAUUUUUAUGAAAAAUAAACAAUAAUAACCACAAAAUGUGUUUGUUUUGUCUUGAUAUUGUAUGUUAUUAUACUUAACCCCAGGUAUAUAUAUCAAUCACUGUCCUUUGGUUCAUCCGAUAUAUAGAAUUUGAUGUAACUAUCCGCCAAAAGCGAAAAUGUUACUUCUGUAGAUGCUGAAUCGUCAUAAGGAUGAAUGUCAAUCACUGUCUCUCGUUUUAGAUAAAUUUUAAUUUUUUUCUUAUACAUAGAUAUUAACUGAUCAGUGUCAAAGUCCUCAGCUGUUAUAUUUACAUUAUCAAAUACAUCAUAUAUACCAAG
Molecule: long non-coding RNA, 1135 nt
Organism: Mercenaria mercenaria
Lineage: Eukaryota; Metazoa; Mollusca; Bivalvia; Venerida; Veneridae
Exons: 2
Source: RefSeq, a predicted model, not a curated record